Long non-coding RNA from Pan troglodytes (chimpanzee), 1925 nucleotides. RefSeq lists it as uncharacterized. The transcript has 5 exons. Lineage: Eukaryota; Metazoa; Chordata; Mammalia; Primates; Hominidae. The record is from RefSeq and is a predicted model, not a curated record.
GGGACCAACUUCCUUCCUCUUCAGCUCAUGCCUCUUGGAACACAUGGGGCAGCUGUGUGCACCUCAGAUGGAGCAGCCGAAAAGAGCUCAGAGCUUUGGUCCUGACUUUGCAGCCCAAGUGAGAUCAUGGGUUUUGUACUCCAGGCACUGUGCUAGGCACCAGGACUAUAAUACAACUUGUGAUCUAUAGAGGAGUCAGACAAUUACCCAGGCAUCCCAAAGAAAUGUCAAUUGCAAGAGCUGGCCUGAAGAACUUCUUGGGAAUAAAGACUCCAAAGAGAAGCUGAGUGUUGCUUUGGGACUGCCUGGCUGGAACUUCCCUGUUUUACUUUGAUAUUAUGAAAAACUGAGGAAGAUGAAAUGAUUUUGCUAUUGUCAUACAUCCAGUUUCUGGAAGAACACAGAUUAGAACUUGACCCUUUGGUGUAAUGCCGUUUCCUCUAUACAACAUUCCAAAGCUAAUUGAGAAGGAGUGUGCCUGUGAAGGAAUUCAGCUAAUGGGGUGAACAAACAAUUUCACAUGCGUUUAUAAACUGUGGGAAGUCUACCUCUAACCUGUGUAGAAAGAUUUCUGGUUCCAAUAAGGAUGUUGCCCUCUUCUCUCAAAUUAAUCCUGGAGAAAAGAAAAAAAAUAAACAGAAGUGAAACAUGAAUUCUAACAAUGAAUAAAACCAACCAACAGACUUUGGGAACACCCUGAGGGUACAGAAGACUAUUUGCACUUGCGUGUGUCAGUUUCAGCCAGGGGAAGAAGGUGGCCCAAGGUGGCAGUGGAGCUUUUUGGAUUCUGCUCUUGUCCUUCUCUGGCUUUACUUCAAGACAGCCAUCACUCGCCUCUUCACUGCAGAGGUGACCCAGGAUCACAGAGAGGCUGCAUAAAUAUUGCUGAGGGAGGAGUUAAUGAAAACAAGGGCUUCUGGACCCAUUUGCCUUACCCCUACCCUUCAGACCCACAGGGCUCAUGGAUUAAAAUCUAGGGAGGCUACCUUCUCAUAAUGCAUCUUCUCCUUAAGGUUUAAGGUCAAGACCUGAGCAAUAGAGUUACAUGAUGGGUUCCUACAAAUCAGGGUAAUUCACAGUGGUUUGGUGAUGUCUGGGAUUUCCACAUGGAGGCUCAUUCUCUCUUUAUUAACUCACUUAAACUGGGCAGGGUAGCUGGUAUCCUCACGGGAAGACUUCUGGGCUAAAAUGACCAGACAUCUAAGGGGUACAUGCAUUCUCUGAAAUGGAAAUAUUAGAAGUGGACUAAGAAUUUAAAAUAAAUAUGAUAGAAACACUUAAGCUGAUAAGGGAAAAUACUAGCAAUGUAAGACAAAGCAAUGACAACAAGUGGAAUAAUAAAGUAUGGCUUAAAAGGAAGAAAAAUAUAUAGGAGGACAGAUAUAACUGAAAAAAUAAAUUAAUGCAGUAGAACAGUUAAUUGAGAAAUUCUUCCAGAAGGCAGCAAGAAUGUAUAUAAAAAAGAAAAUAAAUAGAGAAAUUAAAAAAGCUAACAGGCAUGGUGGAUAAAAGUGCCAAUAUCUAGUAUUAGAACACUCAGAAGGAAAGUGGAGAUAUAUGGAAGGAAAUAAUCUGGAGAAAGAAUAGAGGUAAUUACUCCUACUUAAAAAAAAGACAGAAGACUUCAGUUUGAAAGGGCUAAUGAAUUGUCAAACAUAAAAGAAAAGGAAAAUUCACCCUACACAUUAUGAUAAUAUCUAAGAACAUCAAGUACAAAGAAAAAGUUCUACAAGUUGCCAGAAAGUGAAGAUUACGUAAAAUAAACAAGAAUGAGAUUGGUAUCAGAUUCCUUAACAGCAACACGGUGUGAGAAGCCAGUGAAGCAGUACUUUUAAAAUACUGAAAGAAAAUAACAUUGAACAUAAAGCUUUACAUCUAAUAAAAUUGCCAUUUGAUUUUGAAGGGUAAUAAAAAUAUUCCCAGGU